This 5630-nucleotide long non-coding RNA is filed under the name Homo sapiens (human). RNAcentral describes it as "HSALNT0158731". The record is from RNAcentral. Lineage: Eukaryota; Metazoa; Chordata; Mammalia; Primates; Hominidae.
CAGAAAUUCGACAGGGAAGAAAAGCAAGUCACCAGGGACUGUAUCCUUGAUUAGUGGCUGCGAUCCUGCAACACACUUCAUCCUGCCCAAUCCCCAUCGAUGUUGGCAUUUUCCUACUCAAUUGAUGUCCUCAUAUUUUCCCUGCUCCAUCUACACACCAUAUAUUUCCUCAGGUGCUACAAACAAGUUCCAAACUUUAUUGGACAGGGGAAGAAGUAGAAGAAACAAGAAGUAUUAUUAAAAUGAAUGGAGUUAAAAUGGGACAGAGCCCAUACAAACCAAGGCUAUCUUCAAGCAAACAAUUUAGAAGUUCACAAUUUUUUUUCUGUCAAAUAUGUGGUGUUCGCAAAUUGAAAGCAUCUUGGAUUUCAGGUUAGUAUCCCUAGUACAUAUUUUAAAACUUAUUUAGAGAUUCAAUUGACUUAUUUUAUUUGAGUCUAUGUCCACCUUUCUCCUGAGGCAGAGAAUGCCUCUGCCACAGGUCUCAAAAUCCUCUGGUUAACACAAAAAUUACAGAAAAUGCAAAAUUCCAGCCUAGGAAUUAAACACUCUCAUGUGUAAAUUUGUGUAAUGUAGAAGUUUAAUAGCAAAGAAAGAGAAAUUGUUAUACCUAUCAAUCAAGCAGGAGCUUCUCCUUAAAAUCUUUCAACAUGAAUCACAUGGCUUAGCAGGGGUAAAAUAUUUUAGGAGCCUCCUCCUAGAGGAUCUCACUCAAUCUUACUCCCUUGUAGAACAGGCGAUAUCUUCACCAUGCGCACAAUGAAAUCAAUACUCAGAGAAGGCAGAUAAUUCUCCACGAAGCCAGAAAACUAAUAAAUGAACAACUUGGGUGAAAUGUCCCACCAGACGGUGUGAUAUUUAGUAGCCCAGAAAGCUGCCAAGGGGUUGAAUGACACUAUCUGAAGAUAUGAACCAGUUUGCUCUCCAUAGGGAGGAUUUCAUCAACAGGAAACAGAUGCCUGGAAGGCAUUGGAUUUGCUAAGUGUCUAUGCCAUAUGAUUCUGCUGUUUGCGUUUGAUUUAGAAUGCUGAGCUGACUCAAAGUCAAACUUGGCAUAAAACACUUCAAUCACACGUAGCUUUCUGGAGCAACAGACCAUGGGCUGAGGAUUGAGUUUCCGGGAGCCACAGCAAGGCUCUCCAAUGCCAUCUUUCUGUCUCACUGCUGAAAGUCAAGAAUCACAGUGCUGAUCUUCAGAAACUGUGGGUUCAGAAACUCACCUGGUCACUAGAAUUACUCUCCCCACUUUACCUCUGCUACCCCGGAGAUCCCCGAGACCAGUCCCUUUUGGGGAGCCCUUGAUGGCAUCUUCACUAGUAGCCCUUUGGCUCACAUGGGAAUACCCCCAGGGACUCCUCGCAAGAGGGCUAUGAGGGAGGCUUCAUUAUUCUAGUGUUGAAGCCCAGAGUCUCAACCUAAUCAGCGCUUUCCUUCAAGUUCGAGCCUCCAGGAGGAGCCAAGGAGUUUCAACAGCGUUUCAAAGUUCGCAGUUUGUAUUCUGCUGCACCAGAGACAUCAUUGAAUCUUACAGCUGAUGCUACCUUCUUUCCCACACCUGGAUUCACCCAAAGUCCUGGAGAACAGCACAUGGUGGAGAGAAACCCCUAGCCAAUUUUCCCUUCUGAAAGAUAAGAGCAAGACACCUGGGUGAACUGGUGGCUGAGGGACCUCCGCUCCUGGAUACAUGUCCGUAAUCAUUCAUGGAGUGAGAAAAUCGGCCUGUAUGUUACCACUAAAGAAGCUAGUCUGUAAGAAUGUAUUGAUUUAAGUAUAUAUAAAAAUACAUAGAGUAAAUUAUAACUCCCCUAGGCACAAUUUCAUUAUAUACCUUAAAAAAUACAUAGAUGCCACUCACUUCACUGCUAACAAAAAUGACAAUAUCAUUUAUCAUUCCAACCAUGGUACUUUUUUUUUUUUUUUUUUGAGUCAGAGUCUUGCUCUGUUGCCCAGGCUGGAGUGCAGUGGUGCAAUCUUGGCUAACUGCAAUCUCCGCCUCCCGGGUUCAAGCGAUUCUCCUGCCUCAGCCUCCCGAGUAGCUGGGACUACAGGCGUGUGCCACCACGCCCAGAUAAUAAUUUUUUGAAUUUUUAGUAGAGAUGAGGUUUCGCCGUGUUAGCCAGGAUGGUCUCAAUCUCCUGACCUCGUGAUCCGCCUGCCUCGGCCUCCCAAAGUGCUGGGAUUACAGGCAUGAGCCACCACACCCGGCCCCAUGGUAUUUUGACUACAAAAUGAGACACAAUACAUGAAAAAGUGGUCUACUGUGGAUCACUACUCUCAAUGAAAAGAAACAAACUAUUGAUACAUUUGACAAACCAAGACUUUCUCCCCAAAACUGGGCUGUGUGGUCCCCUAACUCUACCUGAUAGGGAAAAGAAAAGUGAGUUGGGAAUGAGGAAAGUAUUUUUUUGGAGGGAGGUUUGUUUUAGGUUGGUUUUUGUUGUUGUUAUGAUUUGACUGUGAUUCCUCCAUAGAGUAAAACACAGUCAGUUCUUGUUGUUUGUGGUUAUUAUGUUCUUUAAAGAACAUAAUUGCUGUGAGCACUGAAUUAGCAAAUACUGAACUGUUGCUCCCACGGGAAAUACAGAGGACGUUCCUUCGAGCCUGUGGUCACACAUUGUCAUAAAACAAUCGAUACACGACCUUGUUUUAUGUGUGUUUCUGUUAAAGGACACCUUGUUUAACAUACAGCAUUGAUUUAUUAACAUUGAAUUCAUGACCAACAGUACUAUAACUAACGCUUGAACAAGGCUUAUCAACACAUCUCUUUUCUUCAUACGGUACAUCAAAGACUUCUUGCACUUAGGAAUACUAGAUGGCACUAUAUCACUGUAGUGAAAUCAGCAGCAAAAAGCACAACAUGAGAAAAAUGUGGCACUAAAUAGAACACACACCAAAAGGACAGUUGUGUACAAUAUGAGAUAUAAAACAGGAGCAAGGCAGAAUGUCGCCUUGUUGAACCUCAUCUGGGAACAUGAACUUUGGGUGACAAUUUUUUCGCUGCUCUCCACAUGUCUGUGAAGGGACAUGAAAUAGCUGUGGCUAUUGAUUUGAGAGUUACAGGUAAUUUUAGGGAGUAGGCAGGUCUGUAAAUAUGAAAUCCAUGAGUAAUGAUGACUGACUGUAGAUUCUUGUCCCUAACUCUUAGGUGUACCUUUAUUUAAAGUUAGGCUCACCAAGUAGAUUUCAAGAGGUCUCUAAGAGUGGAUCUAAAAUGGAGAACAAAUGACCUCAGGAGAUGUAGAUAAAAUAUGUCUCUUCAAACUGGUUUUGCACCAGUAAUGAGACAGUGACGCAAGUCCUCUGUAUCCUCGCUGUGCUUGUUUUUGUCCCUAUUUUCAUCAUUCUGCUAGACGUGCAGUAAUACUUUUCUGUGGUUUUAAUUUGCAUUUCUCUAAUAGUACAGUUUGGCAGUUUUUUAAACAGUUAAAUAUUCAACUGCAUUUAUAUAUGACCCAGCAAUUGUACUCUUUGGCAUUUAUUCCAGGGAAAUGAGAACAAACUUGAACAUUGUGGCACAUCUAUUUAUAAUAACCAAGAACUGGAAAUAAUCAGAUAUCUCUCCAUGGAAAAAUGGUUAUUAAACAAAACAUAGUACAACUUACUAUGGAUCACUACUCCCAAUAAAAAGGAACAAACUGUUGAUGCAUUCAGCAACCUUAAUGAAUCACCAAAGAACUAUCCUAAGUGAAAAUAAAGCCAGUUUCCCAAGAUUAUAUAUGGUAGGAUUCCCUUUAUAUAACAUCCUUGAAAUGAGAAAAUGAUAGAAAUGGAGAAUAGACUAGUGGUUGCCAGGGGGUUAAGGUGGGAAUCCAUGCAGGAAGGAAGUGGCUAUAACGAUAAAAGAGAAACAUGAGGAAUCCUUGCUGUGAUGAAAAUGCUCUGAAUCUUGACUGUAUCUAUGUCAGUAUCUUGGUUAUAAUAUUGUCUUAUGCUUUUGCAAGAUGUUACCAUUGGGGAAUACUAGGCAUAAGCACAUGAGAUCCCUCUCUCGUAGUUCUUACAACUCCGUGUGAAUCUAUGAUUACCUCAGUAUAAAAAGCUUAUUUAUAAAUAAAUGAAGGAAAAAUAAAGACUUUCUCAAACCAGCCAAACUACACACCACACACACACACACACACACACACACACACACACACACACACAGAGUUUUAUUCUUUCCAAGUUUGAACUGAUUCUUAUUCCUUCUUCAGUCAUUCAACAAGCUGUUACCCUUUAAAGAGGCUAAGGAGAGAUUAAUUAGAUAUUAGUUCGUAAGAUACAUUUUUCAAAUUUCUUAAAAUAUAUGUACAUGUACAAUUUAGUGAAAGCAAAAAAAACUUUGAUAGUAAUAAUAUUGAAGAUCCAAAUCUGUAUUAAGUCAAAUAUUUAGUGAUAUAAUUUUCAUUUCAAAAUGGUUUUUACAUAAAGUAAAACUGUGUACAAUAAAGUAAAUAAUUUUAAUGCAAUUUAUUCUUUUUUUGGAUGAGGAAACUGAGGCUCCCUUCUUAUGUGGAAAAAUGGUUGGCAUUGCCAUUAGUGCAGAGUUGAUUGGGGCUAAAUUGAUGCACUCUUUGGACCAUAAAGUCAAGAGCAGAUAUGUAAAACCACGAUGUGUCAUUAUGGAUGAUCCAGUUUCUUUUUAAAUCAGAAUCUCUGGGGCAUGAACAAAGUCUUUAUAUAAGGUACUAUUCUGUCUUAUGGGCUCUCUCUAUAUGAUUUUUCUAUAUAUGCAGAUAUAUAAGGAAAGGGCUGACAAUAAUCAUGUAGGAUACAUAAAAUAUUAUUUUCUUUCUGAAAGGAAAGGGAAUGGGCCUCCUCUGGUUAAAAUUUAUAUUAGAUUUCGUAGACUGCUAGGGCUGCCAUCACAAAGUACCACAGACAGGGACACUUAAAGAAAAGAAAUAUAUUGUCUCACGGUUCUGGAGGCUACAAGUCAAAGAUCAAGGAGUCAGUGGGAUUGGUUGCUUCUGAGGCUGUGAGGGGCAAUCUGUUUCAUGCCUCUCUCCUAACUCUGGUUAUUUGCCGGCCAUUUUUGGUGUCCCUUGGCUUAUAGAAUCAUUGCUCCAAUCCCUGACUUACCUUCACGUGUUGUUCUUCCUGUGUGAGUCUGUCUUUGUGUUCAAAUUGCUUCCUUUAAUAAGGACACCAGUCAUACUGGAUUAGGGUCCCACCCUCAUCCGUGAAGUAUGACCUCAUACUAACUAAUUACAUCUUCAAUGACCCUAUUUCCAAAUAUGACCACAGACUGAGGCACUGCAGGUUAAGGCUUCAACAUAAGAAUUUUGGGGGACACAAUUCAACUCAUAACAGAUUUUCUCUCUCAUUCUUACCCCAUGGAUAGGAUAUAACAGACAAAGCCCUCUUUAGGUUAUCAAAUAAAUUGUGCCCAAGAUGCAAUGGGCGAAAAGUGUCCUAAGCAACAUAAAGAUAAGCAGCCAUUGUAAUAGAUAUAUUUUUGGCCUUAUUUUAUCUAAAUCAAAAGAUUAAAAGUAAAACUCUGAAUGCACUAUAUUUGCAAAAUGUUUACAAUUAGCCCCAUAAUUUUCUUUUGCAUUAAUAUUAGAAGAAAACUAAACAUUUUCUAAAACUUAUUACUUUCUGAAUGUUUUGAACGUGCUGAUGUAAAUUUUUCAACUCUAAGUGUAGGUGAC